ACGAACGCUGGCGGCAUGCCUAACACAUGCAAGUCGAACGAGACCUUCGGGUCUAGUGGCGCACGGGUGCGUAACGCGUGGGAAUCUGCCCUUGGGUUCGGGAUAACAGUUGGAAACGACUGCUAAUACCGGAUGAUGACUUCGGUCCAAAGAUUUAUCGCCCAGGGAUGAGCCCGCGUAGGAUUAGCUUGUUGGUGAGGUAAGAGCUCACCAAGGCGACGAUCCUUAGCUGGUCUGAGAGGAUGAUCAGCCACACUGGGACUGAGACACGGCCCAGACUCCUACGGGAGGCAGCAGUGGGGAAUAUUGGACAAUGGGCGAAAGCCUGAUCCAGCAAUGCCGCGUGAGUGAUGAAGGCCUUAGGGUUGUAAAGCUCUUUUACCCGGGAAGAUAAUGACUGUACCGGGAGAAUAAGCCCCGGCUAACUCCGU
RNAcentral lists this ribosomal RNA (431 nucleotides) under uncultured bacterium. RNAcentral's name for it is "bacterial SSU rRNA". It matches the Rfam family "Bacterial small subunit ribosomal RNA", at positions 29 to 506 of the family's 1533-position model. The record is from RNAcentral.